UGGGGAAUUUUGCGCAAUGGGCGAAAGCCUGACGCAGCAACGCCGCGUGAGUGAUGAAGGCCUUCGGGUCGUAAAGCUCUGUCAGAGGGGAAGAACCGCCAGGUGGCUAAUACCUGCCUGGUCUGACGGUACCCUCAAAGGAAGCACCGGCUAACUCCGUGCCAGCAGCCGCGGUAAUACGGAGGGUGCAAGCGUUGUUCGGAAUUAUUGGGCGUAAAGCGCGUGUAGGCGGUUUGUUAAGUCUGGUGUGAAAGCCCUGGGCUCAACCUGGGAAGUGCAUUGGAUACUGGCAAACUUGAGUACGGGAGAGGAUAGUGGAAUUUCUAGUGUAGGGGUGAAAUCCGUAGAUAUUCGAAGGAACACCGGUGGCGAAGGCGGCUAUCUGGACCGAUACUGACGCUGAGACGCGAAAGCGUGGGGAGCAAACAGG
Molecule: ribosomal RNA, 430 nt
Filed under: bacterium
Lineage: Bacteria
Description: partial 16S ribosomal RNA
Rfam family: Bacterial small subunit ribosomal RNA
Source: RNAcentral